Molecule: long non-coding RNA, 352 nt
Filed under: Phascolarctos cinereus (koala)
Lineage: Eukaryota; Metazoa; Chordata; Mammalia; Diprotodontia; Phascolarctidae
Description: lncRNA (ENSPCIG00000035026.1)
Source: RNAcentral
AGAUGAGGCUGCAAUUGACAACAGGAAAGUUUAUAGUCCUAAUUGCAUACAGAGCACAUCCCUUAACGCACUUACAGGGGAGACAUUGCCAAUUCCCUUUUACAGUUCAAAAAGGGACCAUUAGACCUUUGUGCCCAGAACACAAGAAAGGUGAAGAAGAGAUGGAAAGCAGGAUGCCAAUGAGAGCUGAGGAGACAAGAGUGUUUGCAGUUUUCAUUCAGAGGAGAAAAGAGGACUUGGUGAGAGUUGGAGGGAAAAGAGACUACCUAUAAGUGUCUGAAGAGCUGUCUUGUGGAAGAGGGACUAACUUGUCUAGGAGUUGUAGGUAAGAAUUUGCACAUAGGCCCAUUUC